Molecule: long non-coding RNA, 13542 nt
Organism: Falco peregrinus (peregrine falcon)
Lineage: Eukaryota; Metazoa; Chordata; Aves; Falconiformes; Falconidae
Exons: 7
Source: RefSeq, a predicted model, not a curated record
GAAUGCUCAAGCUGCAGCGCCCGUAAGAGUGCUCUGUCUGCUGAAAACCAAAGAUAAGGCUUAAUGGGUAUGGCUACAAUAAAGCUUUGGUGGUGCAACGCCGUCAGCAGCAUAAAGCAUAGGCUCUGUGGGAAGGAUCAGUGUUGCCUGACCUUGAGAAGAUGUGGUGGAUGCAGGGACAGCCUGACCAGUACUGAAAGCAGCUGAGAAGCUGGGAUAGCUGUUACAUGUGGAGGUGCAAGACAAUGCCUAAAGGCUUUUGGGAGGUGGGGGCUGAGCCCUCCAGCCAGCAGAGAAGGGUGAAGAAAGCGCAGUAAGAGGAAACUGCUUGCCACUGAAGCAAUUAAGUGGGUAUUAAAUAUUCACAACGUCCAAAUGAUUGGGUCAUCCAGACUGCAGAUCAAAAUCAAGCCUGCACUGGAAAUGCAGAGGAAAAUUACCUUUCCACAUGGUAUUGUGUUCAACACGACUAAGGAAACGACAUGUCUGUACACCUGGGCGGAUCUGGGUCUCCAUGCUGAUCUUUCCACUGCUUUGGUUAAACUACGCAGCUCUGGCAGACAGCAUUGCUCCUCAGCCAUUCCUUAGCACCGAGAAUGCUAAACCCGUGAGCCUCUGAGCCUGGAUGCCACGUGCAAAUCCUCCCAAGCAAGUACUUCUGGCAAGGUGAAGUGCAGUUGAAAGCCUGAUGCAGCCUUUAUCCAAAAAUGGAUUUGGACUUGAGCCUUGGAUAGAUCACGGAGCAUCCCUCAGGCCCGGCUCCCUGCUCAGGUGCAUCGUUGCCCGUCGGGGUGAGCCCAAGUCUGUGCGUGGCCCAGCACGGCGCCUGGGAAGGAGCUGGUGACUCUCGAGUCUUCCUGGUCCUGCUGCGCUCGGAGUGCAGUGCCCAGGCUGCUGUGCAAGGUGAGUUCUUCCCUCCACGUGAAGCGUUUACUCUCUAAAAAUGCCGAAAGCGCUGUCAUCCCUUAGCUAAAGGAGAAACACUCCUGUGUAAUUGGGUUUUUCUUUAUAUUUGGUGAACAGGCUCUCUAUUGUUCAGUAGGACUUUUGCAAAGUGCAGUAAGAAGAGGUGUAUUUGCACUGAGUACAACUAUUGUGUGGGCUCUUCCUACAAGAAAACCAUUAAUAAAAGGUCCAUUCCUUCUUCUCCAGGCAGUUCUUAUGCCAUCAUACACAAGAUGUAUUUUUCAAGUGAGGUGAUAAGUUUCUAGGAUGCGACAUUGGUUUUACCAUAGAGCCGCUGGCAUUAGUGAGAGGAGAAUGGUAACAUAAACCGUAAAAAUAACAGAUGGAAGGCAGAUAUAAUAAAAUGGAAGCACAGGCAAAUUAUAAAACCAUUCAAACUGUUCAUGCAGAUAAAACAAGGAAACAAAAACACAUCUGAAAUCACAAGGACUGGGUGUCUGUUGGGGGAAAAAAAUGUUUUUGUUUGUUAGUGUUGUUUGCAGUGAAGGCAUUCAAGUUCAAAAGACCUGAAGGAGAAGCAGUGAUUUCUGUUGCAGGGGGAACUUUUUAUUUUCCAUGUGGAGGCUUAAAGAUGGUGAUUUUUUUCUCAACCCACAUUGCAAAUGUUAACGUUCAUCCUAUGCCAAUGCAAUUACUUUAUUGCAAUAAUAAACUAUCAACUAAAUAAUUUAAGAAAGAUGAAGGGGGAAAAGAGCUUUCAAAAACCAAAAGGGCAGCUGAAUAAGACAGUGGAAACACAAAACGAUGCUGGUAUGUUUGACAGGAUAGCUGCCAGGGGCAAGGCUGAGGUGGCACGGGGAUAAGGAGCAGACCCCAUGAGAGCAGGGAUAUCCCCUGGGGAGAUGCAGGCACGCCGUGCCAGUAGGCAGGCUGCAGUUCAGGAGUGGCUUUAAAAAUAGCUAUAGCAUGAAUGUCUCUGUUUUUUACAGGAGAUUGUGGUUUCAGGGGUUUGCUUUGAGGCUGGAAUAGCACUGGUGUCUAUGUGGGACUAGGGGCCCAGACUGUGGGGUGCUUUUUACUGGUAACCAUGAAUUCUCCCACUUGAAGUGGGGCACACUGAGCAUCUAGUUGUGGUCCAGACCCCCAGGGGAAUUACCGGCCAUUGCAUCCAGGAGGGGAUUAUCCUUGUCGUUCACUGGUGGUGUUAGACAUGCAAGCAAGGUCUCAGGCUUGCCCUUGGAAGAUCCUGGAGCAUCUCCGAUCUGCUGCUGCUCCUCUCCAGCAUGUGCUGCUCCUCAGAGCCUCGGGCUUGCAGGCAUAGUGAAACGGUGUUAUGGGAGUGAGAUGUCUGCCUGUGGGAAGGAUGGCUUGGUGUGAUCAGAGCCCAGGACCUGUGAAGGUGAGCUGCUUGCAGGCAAUGUUUCCAGAGGGGUGAGGCUGUGCAGAGUCCUGGUGAGGCUGCGUGUGGGGGUGGGUGUUACUGUGAUCCUGUAACAGGGCUGAAAACUGUGACUAAUACUCCUGCUGGGCUGGCAGGCUGAACUGACCUCGCUGCCGUUUGUGCAUUGAUCACAGCACUCGCCGUGCUGUGGCGAUUUCGAGAGUGACAGUAACUGAUCCAUAAACCCCUGUGGCUGAACGCCUCACUGUGCAGACCCUGGCUUUGAGGGCUUUGCUGGCAGGUGAGCUCAUGGCCCUCGGUUCAUCAUGAAUGCCACCGCAGGGAAGAGGGAUGCUGGAGGCUGUGAGCACCACGGAGUGUCUGGUAAGAUGAUUUUUAAAGACCCAAACAAAAGAGUAGGUACAUUGGAGCAUCCAAAAUCAUCUAGCCAGUACCCUGCCUCCAGCAGAAUCUGGAAAAACACCAAGUGAUCCAUGCCUACAAACAAGUCUCCCAGUUUCUAGUAAUUAGCAGAUUAGAUAAUUCCUGAGCCAGAAGUUGCAUUGGGACCAAGGGGCUUAAAAGCUACAGACAGGUUUCUCCUCUGAAUUAAUUGAAUCCCUUUUUGAACCCACUUAUCCUUCUGGCUGCCAUACGUCUCAGAGUUUAAUCACACAGUGCCUGAUGAUUCAGCUGGGUUCCCCUUUCCCGUUGUACUGAGCAUAAGGAACAGACGUUAGUAGUCUCACCUUCUUCACACCACUUACCCAAAAUCUCACUGCAGGUUUCUACAACAUCUGAUGCUUAUUAGUGCCUCAACUUUCUGAAGGCAUGGGGCUGGGAGUCUGGUUUUUUUCUUAGUUACUUUAUCAGUGCAUUAAGGUGGUGGGAUGAGCUCUGGCUAUGUUCUGAAAUCUAUCCAGAAGGUAAAAAAAGACCCUCAAGUGAAUUUCUGUUGUGAAGUCUUGGGAUUUUGAGGCUAAUGUCACGUUUGUGGCAGGAGGAACUGGUUCACUGAGAUGUUGUGUUUACUAGACGGUGAUGCAGAACUAGCGAAGGUAAAGCAGCAGCAUGUGGUCUCUGUGGAGCUUUCCCAGGGCAAAGAGUGUGGAUGGGGCUGGAGGUUGUUUUGGCUUCCUCAUGUUUCAGCAUCCUGGGGUGCUGCUAGAGGAGACUUCUCCGUCUGAUAGAAGGGGUGUUCUGAACUGUUAUGUGUAUAGCAGUUUACCUGUAUUUGUGAAGAAUGUGCAGUAGCUGGUGAGAAGCCCGCAGCAGCUGGAGCUCAGGGAAGAGGGGUGCCGUGUUUCCGGGACUGAAGCCACUAGCUGUUUGCUGCCAGCAGCUCCUCUGCUCAGCUCCAGCCCUGUAUGUGAGCUGAGCCCAUGUCUAGGAGCUAAUUGAUUGUAUUCUCCUGUGCAGAUUUGACCUCAGUAGUUGUACACCCUGAUCCCCAACAGUGUGUGGUGGAGAGCAAUAACAUGAAUGAACCCCAGCAGCUUGCAGUGACGGCACAUUGCAAACAGCACUGACAAUGGAGCAGACAGGGAUGAGACACUGCAGGGCAGGGGGUGAUCCCCCUGAAAGGGGUGACAAGUACUUUGAAACUGCUUUGAGAUAUGCUGUGCUGGAGUGGCAGGGAGAAGGGGAAGAAGCAAAUAGCACGCAGUUUGGCACCUUGAUUUGUUUUUGGGUACCCUUGAGCUGUAUAAUUGACUCUUUGUUCUCAAAGAUUGGCAUUAUUACUCUAAAUUUCAUAAUUUUCUCGAUACAGAGCUCACUUCAGAAUGACAGCAUUUGGAAUAUUGCUCUGAAACAUUUGGAUCAUUACAAUGGAGCUGGGUGUUAUAGCCAGCCAUUACAUUUUACUCUGCAACGGGUGCAAUUAGAGAUACAGCUUGAAAGUAAAAUGUGGGAAAAUAUGACUAUAGGGGGGGCGAAAGGGAGGAGAGGAAAAAUAUUGCCUUAGAAGCUGAUUCUGCAUAGGUAAGAAGAAAAAGGUUCAUGGCUAGUUCAUCAGAAUGAAACCCGGAGUGUUCCAGAUGGGGCGGGCUGGCUGGCUGGGGCGUUUUUAACACCCCGCUUGCUGCAGGGUCUGGCAGGUGUCGGAGCUGCUGCUUGAGCACAGGGGAAAACUGCAAUGACUGCCGAGUUCAGCGGGCACUGCUGCCUCUCACAAGGGCGCACAGAACCACAGGCUUGCCAGGGAACUGAGGCACAAUGUCCCUCUUCCAGCCCUUUUCUUUCUUCUGCAAGGCUGGAGAUGAUCUGACUGACCAGUGCAAAGAGAUGCAGUACUGUAUCCUGUGGCAGUCGGAAGAGAAAAUAACUGUCAAGUCUGGGCUCACGGAGUAAACUGGGAGUGGUUUAACCUUCUUACGAGUUGUACCUUGAAGAAGCAUGAGAGCUGCCGUGUUCCCCGGGACUGCUCGAUGCCUCCCUUCCUGAUUCCCCAGCUUCUUAUCCGUGCUGAGCUUCAGGCACUGGAGCUGAAGGGAUGAUGCCCUCAGGACGCUGGCUGCCCCCAGGGUGUGUAUGACGACGUGGAUGUCAGCCCAACAACAGAGGUGGGAUAAUUUCAGGUCUCCAACCACACAACCUUUAAGAGCUUUCCCCAGUGUCUGCUCCAAGCUGUUUGCGAGUCUUGCCCAAACAGACGUGGUGCCGUGUCCCGGAGCAGCUGCUCCACUGCUCUGGUGACCUCUUCCACACCAUGGAGCUGGGUCCUGUGCCCCACCUGAGGAAGGGAAGGGGAUGAGCUUUCCAUUUUGCAUAUUUUGGGGGUUCAGGAUCUGCUUGAGGCCAUGUGUGGGUGACAGUGAUGUUUCCUCUUCCUCUUCUUGCUUUGCUUCUGGUUGAAAAGCUUUUUAGUUUUUGUUUGUUUGUUUUCAGAGGAAGAGCAAAGGACUAAAACCUUUCAAGCUGCUUAUGCUCUCUUACAGAUUUUAUGCAAUGAUACUCUUAUUUAUAACAGCAUCAGGUCAGAUUUAGGCUUUUCCUACCAGUGUUUAUGAAGAUGCUGGCAAGUUUAUGAGUCCUUGUCUUCCAGAGCAAAUAAGUGAGUAACGUUUUCAGUGAUCUUAUUGUACCUACAGUUUUCUGCAGUUCACUCUGGAAAAUCUAAACUGGAGAAGCCAUUGGCAUCUUUGUGAUGUUGGGGCAGGGGAGUUGGAUUUGUUUGUUGGUUGGGGUGGUUUUUUGGCUGGGAUUACAAGGCUAAUACUUAAUCAGAAAUCCAUAGUUUUCCAUGGUUCUUAAAACAUUUCAGUGUAUUUUACAUUUAAAUAGAAAUAAGGCCUCCUUGAAACAAAUUUAUUCCAGUUGGCUUUGCACAUUGAUGAUUAGAGAAUGUGGUUCAAUUUUUUUUCUCUCAUUCUGAGCAGUGUCUCAUUAGAUUUGCUUUUUAUUGCUUUUCAUAUCCAUCAUGAUUUGUGUCAGCAGAAUGGUUAUCUAGAUGGACAGCUUAUUAUCAGCUUUAAGUGAAGAAACAGAACACAAGAAUGGCUGCUAAAAAAAGGGAAAGGUAAUUAACAUUGGGUGCCAGAAUAUAAAUGAAGCUUGACAUUUCCACUUUGUUAAUCCAAAUUAACCCCUGUCUUAAUGUUACAGAGUGCAGGAGGGGAUGCUGCGCCUCUGCCCAUGUCUCUGGAUCUCCCUGGCGCUGCACGUCCUGGCGCAGUGUGGUGCAGCGUGGCGAUGCCCGGUGUGGCUUCACGGGCUGGCGUGGUGGGAUCUGUUAAAGGUGCGGAAACCACUGCAGGGCUCCUGCACCCAAAUCCGCGCUGCUUAACCUGAGCUGCAGGUCACCCAUGGCAAAAGGUUUUAGUCUGUUGGGAAUUCAGACAAUUGUUUUUUCAGCACGCUUUGCUGUCCCCUCCUUAAUUUUCUCAUCCUAAUGUGAUAUGUCUGCAAAGUAAUUAGGCUCAGCUAUUUGAUGUAUAAAGUGGGAAUGGGAGGGAGGGUCAGGGAGGACAAAUUAAAAUGAAUCAGGAAUCUUUAAGUGAAGAGAAAAGAGGACUGGAGGGAGCCAUGAUAACUCUUUACAAAUACUUAGAGGGACAUAAUAAAGAGGACAGGGACCAAUUACUCUCAUUAGUCAGUGUGAACUGAACAAGUCUUGUGCUGCAGAAAGGAAACCCAGAUUGCGAUGGAACAGUUGGAAACAAACAGCAGAGAAGGAGCCGCCCCGGGAAAGUGUGGGUCCUGUGCCCCGGGAUGGCACCCAGAGGUGCUUCAGCCCUCGGAGGGCUCUUGAGGGGCCGCAUGCUGCUGUGCCCAGCUUGCCCAGACACACCAACUUGCCUCCCUAAGUUGCUGAAUAUUUUUGAAGAUGUGUUGUGAAUGUUCAGUGCCCCCAGUCCUCUUCCUGCUGCCGGUACAGGAAACCUUGAACUUCUGUCCAGAUGUGGAAGCUGCUCUGCUUAACGCCUUCCCAUGCCGUAAGCCCGCGGCAGCAGCUGCCUGCCUGGAGGGGUGUGCUUCAGACAGCUUUGGGGAGACCAGACCGUGCCACUGAUCCUGGUCUGCCGCUGUCACCUCUGGGGUCAGCACCAGGCUUGCCUGAGGCAGGCUGCAGUGAGAGCCCGUCCCCCAGGGCCAGCAGAUGUUCUGCCCCUGCCUGGCUGUCCUCUUGGUGCGGAGGGGUUAUGGGUCCAGCCUCAGAGUGUUGUUGUGGAUCCUAAGGAAUCAGCGCUCGCAGAGCUGUGAGCAGUGCAGGGACCGGCUGCUGCUGGACUGUUGUGAGGUUGAAAAUGCCCUUAGCACCUUUCAAAAGCAACCAGUAGAACCAUUUUAUUGCCUGAUAACUGUGCAAUUAACUUGUGUCACCACUGUAUACUGUUUCUUUUGCCAUAAUAUGGAGCUUUUAAGAAAAAAUUAAACCUGCCAAGCAUCAUUACAUGGUAAGUCUACCAAGCAACUAUUCAGAUUUCAGUGGCCUUGACUGAAGAACCUGGAAGAGUUCAGACAACUGAGAAAUGCAGGCAUCUGGCCAGACUCCAGAUAAUUUACCACUACAUUAGAGAUAAUUCUUUGCUGGGUUCAUGUAUAUACCUGGUGAUUCUUAUUCAGCUAUGGAAAUUUUUCCUGUUCUCCUAUAUGUCCUCAUUAUUCGAGGUGACACGUUAGAUACCAACGUACAGUUUGUUGCUCCUGCUCCUUCUGAUCGUAUACUUCUCAUUGAAGUGGCAGUGAAAGUGAAAAAAAAAACUUGGGAGAAAUCUGAGUGCGAAUCGUGGGGAGGGUAUUAGCAUUUGGUGAGCUGGGCACAAGAAUCAGUCAGGAAAUUAAAAGGAGGAUGAUAUUUUGAGGUGACAAAACAUUAAAAUAUAAAACUUGCAUUUGAGUCAGAUCCAGCCUCAAUUUUUCCCUUUUUAAGCUGUUGCUUGUGAAAAGCUUGAGCCCACGCCAGUAACAAGUGAAGUCUUUGGGCUGUUGCAACAGGGAGAAGGGAGGCUGAAUUAAAUUGUGUUAGAGCUUGGUGAUGUCCUGAUGAAAUGAGAUAUGCAGCAGCAGGUCAAAGGACAGAGAAAGUGGCCAUGGCAUUGAACCAAAAAGGCAGGAGAGCCUACUUAGAUGAUGUGUUAAUUAAGGUAGUGUCAUCACAGCCAUCCCUGUUGGUGUGGGCCGGUGAGCAAGGAGGAGGCAGUGAAACGGGCAUCGCCUCUUUGAUAAUGGAUUUGGCUUGGCCAGCUACUACCCCGACACAAAUGUGACAGCAGCGACAACCCUUCAUGCUGCAGCUUUGGCUUGGGUGGCUCCUGCCACGCCACUAGUGACUGGACAGACAGGGCGAGUGCAGGACACCCAGCGUGGCAGACAGGGCAAGUGCAGGAUACCCAGCGUGGCUUCUACCUGCCUGGUGUGCACACUCGACUGGAAGGUCUUUAACCUGUAAAAAGAAAUAGCAGUGUGGGUCCUUCCCCCAUCCUCCAGCUUCAUGCACUUCUCAGGCUGACUCAAAGCUCACUUGAAGGUUGGCCAGGGAGGUCGGGGAAGGUCCGUGCCCUGCAAUCUGCCUUCGACAGAACAGGGAUUGUGGAACAGUUUCUGUGUUUCUCUGCGAAUAACAGAAAUUAUUUCACGCAGGUGUGACAUCUGGGGGGCAGUGCUGUACAGAUUCUGGGGCUGGCUCAGGACAAGGCCAGUCCCGUGGCCGGUGCGAGGGCUGCCAGCCGCUCAGCAGCCUGUGAAGGCGACGGCCAAGCAUCGGCAUGCAGGCCCCGCAUCCCUGGUACCUGCACAGCCUGAGCACGGACCGACGUGGCAGGGAACGGGCACCGGCUUCCUCCUCUUGCAUGAAGCCUCAGUUAUUCACUGGAGUUGCAGCUGACGCAAAUUCAACAAACUUUCAAAAGGGGAUUAUUUUGCCUCAGCUGCCUCAACUCAAAAAGAGAAAAUAAAAAGCAAACAGAACGCAGAAAAGCGGCCUGGGAAGGAGAAAGCCCAACGGUUUUGCCACCUCGCCUCCACAUGGCACUCAACAGCCGCUGUCUUUCGCUGCCCUUGGGGUGAACACCAAGCACAAGAACCAGGGGGAAAGCUGCCCAACUAUCAGCCACAAAUGGAACUUCAAAGAACAAAAGGGGGAAAUAUCAACUGUCACAGAGACUGAACUGUCCUGAGCUGGAUGUUUUCAUCACUAUCCGGGCUGAGAAAGAGCUAUUUUAUGACAGACUGUAAUAAUCCCUCAGGAAAAGCAUCUAAGACCCAGGCACGUGGACAAUGACAUUUUUCAUAUCAGCCUGCCCAGUCUUCCCAGCUUAAUCGGUCCCGUGCUGAAGCCCAGCUCAAGUCAGUGCUCCAUCCCCUGUGAUGGACCUCACUCCUUUGAUGGAGCUCACCCCUGGGCGUUUUUCAGCCACCCUUGCACGCCUGGUCCCCCGAGCAGCCUGUGCUAGGCAGCUGUCUGGGCUGCCUGCGUCACCAACAGGAGCAUGUGCCUGCCCGGGGGCAGCCCAGCCAGGACAGAGAGCUCACCUGCACGGAGGGUCUGCAGCCCCCUCCCCUGCUGCCGCCACGGCAGGAGCAUCAGUCGCCAUCGAGAGUGUCAUUCACCUCCUGCAAGGCAGUUUUCUUUUAGGUUGCUUUCGUGGUGACUCGUUUUACCUUUAAUAUGUUUUGGCAGAACUGAGGUAUUUAUUUCAGCAAAGUAGUGAAAAUAGUUUUGAGCAUGUUGGCAAUCUAUGCAAUUCCUGUCAAGUCACUGCUUUUUUAAUGCAGUGGCUUGGAUUGAUCUGACUUAGCUCUAAGCAUACACAAUCAAUCAAGAUCAAACUUUACACCAUAUACAAUUUCCUAAUUUUUAAUAACUUGCACAGUGAAAUAUUUUACCAGUUCUGACACGUCACUGGCUCACAAGGUGCUGGCUUCUUUUGCUUUCUCUAUAAUCCACUACAACAUUUUCAUUUCCCUCUUCAUAGGAGUCAACGGGACAGGUAAGAGCUCUGAGUGGUUUCGACAACGUAUGACAAUGGUGAGUGGUUUUCAAAAUACAACACCUCUGACUGCGGAAAACUCCCAGCAGUCACCGUUUCUUUCAUUUUUUUUAUUUCCUGUGGGAUUUAAGAUUCCCAUUGUCCUCUCCUACCCUGUGACCCAAACAAUGAUUUCCUAUUAGUAUAUAGAUCUAGUAUGAAUGCUCCUGAGAAGACAUGACACGUUCUUGCUUAGUUACUUACACAUUGCUAUUCACUUGCAAGCACACCAAACUCUGCAAAGUCACUGGCAGAAUGACUUUCAUGUCAAUAAAAGGUUUUAAGGGAACGAAAUUGUAUUACAGGCUAAAACAUCGCCAGUCUGGGUUUUAAGAGCCACAUUUGAUUCUUUAACCAGGUACAUUUUCCUUCCACUAGAGCUUUACAGCCUACAUACCAGAUUACUUCUCAAAUCUCUUUUUAAUUGGAGCUGGUUUUGUAAGGCAGCUACAUGUAUGUUAUUUGAUAAAUACAUGACAAGUAAAUGCCCUUAUGCCAACUCUUUAAAAGUAGCAAGCAAGUUUUAUAAAUGUGCUUCAUAAAUAGCAGCAUUUUCUAAUUUCAUAGAACAACAAGAACAAAUCAGCUUCUUUCAGAGAUAGAUUAGUUCCCUGUAGACAACACAUUGAUCCCAACAGAUUUCCAUCUAUUUUCAGGAUUUUUAAAGAACAGCCAUUGCCAUUCAAUUAUCAUGCUUCAUUAAACAACUUAAAAUCCAUACAUUGUGUGCUUCUAGUUAAAAAAGUUCAGUAACCUUGUUUAUGACAUGUAAUGUGGUGUUUGUUCAGAGAAAUCCAGCAGAGCAAGUGUGCGGCCACACAGCAUCGUCACCACCAUGCGCUGCUGGGAAACUCCGAGGGAAAACUGCCACAGCCCAUGUCCCGGGGCAGCCAGUGCCUCCCCUCGCCCGGCUCUUGGGAACCAGCAUGCCUCGCUGCAGGGAGAAAUGGGGAUGUCUGCAGGUGACACCACAUUGUCCCUGCACAACUGCCUAAUGACAGCUGACUGGGGAAAAACCCCAACUGCAGCAGGCUGCCCAAUGGGAGCUGCAAACCAUCUUCAGGACACAGCGUGUGUCAGGUGCUUCACUGGGGAAAUAUGACUAUCCUUCCUCUGCCAGUGAGCAGGCAGCCUCUGAUGUUACAGCUGGCUUCGAUGAGCACUGGACUCCUGCAGCUCUCAGGGUGACACUGAAUUUUACUAUGAAACACAAGGCACUGUAUAAAAGUUAAUUGCCCCUGUGUGUUGUAAAGCCAGGGACCAAUCUUCAGUCGGUGUCAGCAGCACAGCACAGCGCUGUCUCUGCGCUGGCUCCCAGUCAGAUAAAAAGAUGCCAGCCACACUGAAUUUCCCCCCUCCUCCCUCCCUCUGGUGUACCUCACCCAUCUGGUCCUGGGGGAGAAGGCUCUGCUGCUGGGGGGCACCUGCUGCCACCACCUACAAUGCUCAAGAUUUUACCUGAAAUCACAGAGGAAAAGUGAGAGGGAGGCAACAAGCAAACCCAUGCCUUCCGAAUGCGACUCCAGAGCUCUAACUGAAGGUCACCCACACCUCUGUUUAGGGUUUAUUAGUUUUCAUAUUUGUAUAGUCCUUCACAAGCAUUUCAAGCGAUGAGCAAUGACAGCUCAUGUAUAUGUGUCUGCGUACACACACACACACACACACAUAUACAUACACCCUUACAUCUGACCACUGUGCCAAAGAAAUUAUGUUUCACAUCAUUUCUAGUGUCAUCUUUGAUUAAUUUGCGUCUCUUUUCUCAUUAUAGCUCAUCCCUCAUUUCAAAGGUGUCCUUCAACUAGGACACUGGGAAAAGGCCGAGAAGUGAAAAAACAGCAAGAAAUAAUCUAAAGCUCAGGAACCAGAACGAAAGUGGCAAUAAAACGGCUGCAGGAGAGGGUCCCCAGCGUUGCGGUCCCUUGGCUCCCUCCACACAGAGAGCGACCAUUCUGCUGGAUUACCGGAGGGUACCCUCUGCUGUCGCGGUGUAAAUCAUGGCCACAGCUCGCUAUGAUAUCGCUAUUAAAAUAGUCUGAAAACAUCAUAAACAGAACUCACCUGGGGCAAUAUUUCAUCUUAAGGUUUGAUGACAAAGUCAGCAGCACCUAAACAUGUCCUUCAGCUAGAGGUCAGCCCUUUCUGCACACCCUACUUUAAGACCUGUGUAAUGCCAACCUCCACACCCUAUUCGCAUGCCCUUGAAACGCCGCCGUGAGACCAGAUGGAUUCAAGUCUCACCUUGAAAUCCCACUUUGUAAUUCAGCCGAUAUGUCGACAGGAGAGGCCGGCUUUCCGUUGCACCAUGGGGAGCUCGCUGGCGAUCUCUGACCUUGUGCUGUAGAGCAUCCUAUAAGGGUCUUCAUCUGGAAAUCCUGCAGGACAGAUGACCUGGCCAUCAGUCCUUGAAGUCUUCAGUGCAGCUGACAGGUCUUGUAACACAUUAGAAGUACAUUUUAAAACAAGGUCAGUCAGUGUGCUACACCGCACCUACCAUGUAAACAGAAAAUCAAUGUACACAGAGCUGCUCGUCUUUCUGUGAGAUGUGCCCCCACUGUAACGCCCGGGACAGCCGGCACCACCGCCACGUAUCAGCAAGGGCACCUCGCUUUGGUUACAAGAUGGUUUUCCACAACAAGCAGGUGUCUACACAGCAAAGUCACACCUAAAAAGAAGCAGUCCAAGGUACACGAUAGACAAGACAGACAGGGAGAGACAAUAUUUGCUUCUCAAAAGCUAGCGAGUGCCCGCCUGGCAGCAGUGCGGAGCUCUGGGAGUGACCCUGGGGCGGCCGGAGAAGCACCUCACAGCCAGUGUUUCUUAAUUCUCCUAGUGCAUGUGGCAAAUGAGAAUAAUUAUAUAUAAAAUUAUAUGACUCAGACUAGUUAAUUAUCAAAGUGAAAAAACAGAACAAUGCACAACAUUUCCCAAGAUUGCCGAAAGCCUUUUAAACCAGGCUGCCUUUCAACAGCAGUUAUCAGCUUCUAAUUAAAUCCAACUCCAAGCCCUUUUGCUCAAAUGGAGCCAGUAACAGAAAUCUAAUAGGAUGUCUUUUGUCCAAACCAUGUGAGUAAACAGUUUGAACCCCGUGACAAAGAUUGCUUUCUGCCACCUUGCAGAAACCUCACUUUCUGACUAAGCUACGUAUUCACAGCGAAUGGAACAUGGAAAUGACUGGUACCACAUUUCUGUUUUUGCAAUAUAUGAGGUAAACCAACACCAACAGGAGACCUUCCAAGAGAAGCAGUUGAAAAGAAUGCCUUUUUAUAUUCAAAAUCUGCUCUGUGUCUUUUUGGUCAAAAAAGCAUUUUGCAAUUAAAAUUUUUCAUCAGAAAUGGAACACUCUUUCCAGCUUUGCAGAAGAAAAAAUGGUAUCACCUGGUGGCACAGACAGUUGCGCAGAACACAAGCACUUGCCUUUAAGCAUGUAGGAAGCCUGAGUGUGUGAUUGUACAACAUCGAAACAAUUUGUUCUCUGCCUAAUACAAAAAUAAACAUUAUGAAAUUCACUAAGUGAUAUAUUUUGUCCCAGGAGAGAUUACCUUCAGAAAUACAGAGACAGUAAAAUACUCAUCUUUCAUUAUCAUGCCAGUUUUCAAACAGCUGGGAAAUAAAUACUGCUACUUCCCUCAAAUGAGGAGACUAGAUGAAGACAACGUUCUACCUCUGCCUCCCUCAACAACAUUUUUCCCUUUUCUCAUGGAGAUUUUGCAUUUCAAUUAAAUUUCCUCUUUAUUACCACCUUUUUUUUUUUUUAAACUUUAUCUGGCACAUCUUUUCUUCCUA